UACGAAGGGUGCAAACGUUGCUCGGGAUUAUUGGGCGUAAAGCGCCCGUAGGCGGCUUUGCAAGUCCCAUGUGAAAGCCCACGGCUUAACCGUGGAAGUGCAUGGGAAACUGCAGAGCUUGAGUACUUAAGAGGAUCGCGGAAUUCCCGGUGUAGAGGUGAAAUUCGUAGAUAUCGGGAGGAACACCAGUGGCGAAGGCGGCAUCCUGGACCGGUAUUGACGCUGAGGCGCGAAAGCCAGGGGAGCAAACGGG
This 253-nucleotide ribosomal RNA is filed under the name uncultured bacterium. RNAcentral describes it as "partial 16S ribosomal RNA". It matches the Rfam family "Bacterial small subunit ribosomal RNA", at positions 524 to 776 of the family's 1533-position model. The record is from RNAcentral.